This 408-nucleotide non-coding RNA is filed under the name Camelus ferus (Wild Bactrian camel). Its description in RNAcentral is "Bacterial large subunit ribosomal RNA". It matches the Rfam family "Bacterial large subunit ribosomal RNA", at positions 2073 to 2647 of the family's 2925-position model. The record is from Rfam by way of RNAcentral. Lineage: Eukaryota; Metazoa; Chordata; Mammalia; Artiodactyla; Camelidae.
UAAUAAGACAAGACCCUUUGGAGCUUUAAUUAACUAAUCCAAAAAAUAAUAAUAAUAAUAAACAAGAACCUAACCUCAGGGGAUAACAAAGCUUUUAAUGGAUUAACAAUUUUGGUUGGGGCGACCUCAGAGAAUCCAACAAGCUCCAAGUGAUUAAAAUUUAGACCAACUAGUCAAAAUGCUUCAUCACUUAUUGACCCAAAAUAUUGAUCAACAGAACAAGUUACCCUAGGGAUAACAGAGCAAUCCUAUUCUGGAGUUCGUAUUGACAACAGGGUUUAGGACCUCAGUGUUGGAACAGGACAUCCCAAAGUUGCAACAGCUAUUAAUGGUUCAUUUGCUCAACGAUUAAAGUCCUAAGUGAUAGGAGUUGAGACCAGAGUAAUCCAGGCAGGUUUCAAUCUAUUA